UCAGCUGGAAGGAGGAUCUUUGCUCUGGCAUUCCACUGGAUAUCCUGAUCUUGUGGAAAGAUUUGGGUAUUCCUGGGUAGGAGAUCUAUCUCAGAGGAGAUCUGCUUUUCCCUGAAGUACAGAGACCAUCUGCCUGAGAUCCAUUUUCAGAAAUCCACUUGAACCCAAGGGAUUUUGUGCUUUACUGGCCCUGAAGAGGUCCCUAGGUGGUUGGUUAUCAUCUCCCAUCCAUCUAGGAAGGAUUUUUAUUUCACUAUCAUUCUGAGGAAAGUAGAACCAGUCCUCUCUCUUCUGUACCAUUGUCAAUCAGCUUCCAGUGGUGGAAGACAAAGUAGAAUUCUGGUCUCAGAAGCACAUUAACCUGCAUUCCUCUGGUGUCCAGUGCAUCAUCAUGAAGGUGACUGAGUUUACAGAGUCUAUUCCAGGGGACCUUGAGCAAGUGAGUUCUACCAAGCUGUAAAGGCUGACUGUGUGGCAAUUAUGCAAGGAUUAGUGAAGCAAAGACUGAAGAGGUUCUGCACCAGCCUGGGCAAAGGGUGACAAUUUUUUUUCCAAUAAAGCAACUUUUGAGGUCA
RNAcentral lists this long non-coding RNA (575 nucleotides) under Monodelphis domestica (gray short-tailed opossum). Its description in RNAcentral is "lncRNA (ENSMODG00000050616.1)". Lineage: Eukaryota; Metazoa; Chordata; Mammalia; Didelphimorphia; Didelphidae. The record is from RNAcentral.